UACGUAGGGUGCAAGCGUUUGUCCGGAAUUAUUGGGCGUAAAGGGCUCGUAGGCGGUCCAUCGCGUCGGGAGUGAAAAGCUGGGGCUUAACCCCAGUCCUGCUUCCGAUACGGGUGGACUAGAGGUAUGCAGGGGAGAACGGAAUUCCUGGUGUGAGCGGUGAAAUGCGCAGAUAUCAGGAGGAACACCGGUGGCGAAGGCGGUUCUCUGGGCAUUACCUGACGCUGAGGAGCGAAAGCAUGGGGAGCAAACAGG
RNAcentral lists this ribosomal RNA (255 nucleotides) under uncultured bacterium. Its description in RNAcentral is "partial 16S ribosomal RNA". It matches the Rfam family "Bacterial small subunit ribosomal RNA", at positions 524 to 776 of the family's 1533-position model. The record is from RNAcentral.